RNAcentral lists this ribosomal RNA (407 nucleotides) under Escherichia coli. RNAcentral describes it as "partial 23S ribosomal RNA". It matches the Rfam family "Bacterial large subunit ribosomal RNA", at positions 1512 to 1898 of the family's 2925-position model. Lineage: Bacteria; Pseudomonadati; Pseudomonadota; Gammaproteobacteria; Enterobacterales; Enterobacteriaceae. The record is from RNAcentral.
UUAAGCGUGUAGGCUGGUUUUCCAGGCAAAUCCGGAAAAUCAAGGCUGAGGCGUGAUGACGAGGCACUACGGUGCUGAAGCAACAAAUGCCCUGCUUCCAGGAAAAGCCUCUAAGCAUCAGGUAACAUCAAAUCGUACCCCAAACCGACACAGGUGGUCAGGUAGAGAAUACCAAGGCGCUUGAGAGAACUCGGGUGAAGGAACUAGGCAAAAUGGUGCCGUAACUUCGGGAGAAGGCACGCUGAUAUGUAGGUGAAGUCCCUCGCGGAUGGAGCUGAAAUCAGUCGAAGAUACCAGCUGGCUGCAACUGUUUAUUAAAAACACAGCACUGUGCAAACACGAAAGUGGACGUAUACGGUGUGACGCCUGCCCGGUGCCGGAAGGUUAAUUGAUGGGGUUAGCGGUAA